Sapajus apella (tufted capuchin) is the source of this 658-nucleotide long non-coding RNA. RefSeq lists it as uncharacterized. The record is from RefSeq and is a predicted model, not a curated record. The transcript is spliced from 4 exons. NCBI's taxonomy places the organism in Eukaryota, Metazoa, Chordata, Mammalia, Primates, Cebidae.
CAAACAUCAGGAAUACAGGUGACACAUUAAUGUAUGAGAAGAACAGUAUCCUAAGGACUUCCUACUUUCUACAAGAUUCUCUGCAUAGCUCUAGAAAGAGUAUUUAAAAGGGGGAUGUUUCAUUGAAUAUAAGAAACAGGAAAUUGACCCCAGUAACCCAAAACUUCAAUUUCAUAUUUUUAUAAUACGUUUGCCAGUGCAAAGCUACAUAUAACAUUUGCUCCAGAUCUAGAAUUUGUCUGAAAAAUUUUAAAUAACUUCUUGAUAAAAAGUCUAGAAAUGGUCAAUUUUCCCUCAAAGUUUAAAAGUUAAAGUACAUUUAGAAAAUAAUCACCAACAUAUCUAAAACUUUCUUUUUUAUUAUUUAUUUAUUUUUAUAGAGACAGGGUCGCACUGUGUUACCCAGGCUGGUCUUGAACUCCUUGCUUUAAGUGAUCCUCCCAUCUCAGGCUUCUGAGUAGCUGAGAUUGCAGGCACAAACUACUGCACUGAGCUUAAAACUUUCUUUUAGUCAUUAAAGACCAUAAGAAAAUAAAGAUCUUUAUAAAUAUGCAAAACAGUUUUGUAAACUUAAAACAUUAGUAAAAUAUUUGAUUACGGUUACUGUAAGACUCGAUUUGACCACAUAUUGCAGAUAGGAUUGUAUUCUGUAUAUUCA